AUUUGUUCUUUACAUUCUAAGAUGUGCAACAGUACUUGAGCAAAUGUUUCUCAGCCCUGGAUACAAGAGUGAGUUCUCUUUAGAGCAGGAAUUCGGUAUCGAACCUUUCAUUCGAUGAAGAAAAACGCAACUUAAUCCAACAGAGACUACAUGGACAAGCUAUCUCUGGGAAUGCUACGGUGAUCAUCCAAUAAGAUAUUGGACAAAUACUCUAUCGGAAAUCAAGGAUUUGCGUACACGCUACUUUUUCCGGACCUCACAUUUUGCUCUGUUAAUCAUUAGGGGGGUAGUUGAAGUGUGUAGAGUUUAUGGUAGUGCCUAUCUAUUUAUUAUUAAGUACUGUUUUUAGAGCUUUGUCUAUUGGGAAUUGCAUUUUAAGGAUUCUUUAUGUUCUAUCCUUCUUAAAUCCAACAUGUAUGGAUUACACACUCCAUUACUUCAUAAAAUUCAAGUUCAGUGGAAAUAGAAUAUUUAGUGGGGGUUUGACCAUGAAAACUAAAAUUUACAAAUGCAUAUGUAUCUGUCAGAACUCUGGUCCAAACAAAAUGGUUCAUUGACAGGUCUAUCUCUAGGACCAACCCUCUCACAAGUUCCAACAAAGUCUUGUCAGGCUUAACGUGGUCUGGUCAGUCUUGAUGAUGUUUGAAAUCCAGUUGAUGUCAUGCGAAAACUUAAAAGUUUGUUAGAGAAGCUAACCAAGUUGUGGACAAGCUAGCUACUGAAGAAGGCGUUUUCAUGGAAUACAUUUUUCUCCAUACCGAGUGUCAUUUUCACAAUGCGGAGUUUGGAUAUAUCUGACAAAUCAGUCAAUCAGUCAAAAGUUUGUAGGAGCAAAUUGCAUAUAAGUUACAUGAAUUAUAAACUGUACAAGUCAAUAAGGUGAAGCAACAAAGUCAAGUGCAAGUCAAUCUUUUCAAUAACAUGAUGUAGUAUAAUUUUUCUCCCUCAAUAAUUCUUUAUUUUUCAACCUUGAAAUUUCAUUUGAUGUCUCAAUCCAUAAGUUUGAUCUUCAAACAAUUGCCACUUCAAAAAAGAUUUAUUUUAUACUAAAUUAAUGAAUAUUUUACAUUUAUUUUAUCAUUUAUGCGCAUAGUUGACUCAUAUGCAUUUUGAUCUUGCUAUUUUUACUUCAUCAUUAUAAAUUCAUAUAGUUUGAUAUAGACAUUAAAAUGUGAUUAAACUUCUUGUCUAAAUGAAUCUAACUUGUAAAAGACCUUGCACCAAUUGAGAAACAAAUUUGUUGCAACUUGACACCUAUUAUCCGCUUUGGUCUAACAGACCUCAGAGAUUUGUCCCUUGAGCUACAUCAUCAUCGAGUCCAAAAGCGUGCAUACCAUGUAACCGAUUGUUAUUUCUUAUAAAUUCCUUCACUUCAUCUCACAUUUCAAUGCAAGAUUCGCUUGAGGUUCAUAUAUGCCCCUUCUUCAGAAACUUGCCAGCCUAAAAUUCUGUCUUUAGAACCUUCAUCUACACAAGUGGAGGAAUUUAGAAAAUGAGACACAUUUUUUCUUGUAGAAAAUGGCAUUGACAAAGUGUUUUGCACCCUAUUAUAUAUACAUAUAGUCAUUAUUUCCUUAUUUUACCAAAAAUAAGGAAAUAAUUUUGCCAAAAUUAGAUUUGUAUUGCAUAUAUAUUAUUUAUACAAUUUGUAUUACAGUAUUAUCAUACCUCUUAAUUUUACCAAAAAUAAGGAAUUUUGCGAAAUUGAAAAACAACAACCAACAUGAAAACAUUAAUUUACUUCUCCUCUUAUAUAUACUUUAGGAUUCUAGUUAAUAUUAUAAAUAUAAUAAUAUAAUAAUUGAAGAAAAUAAGUGAAAAGAUAAUUUUGUUUAUUGCAGAGAUUUUUAAUAAAGCUCAAAAAGUUUAAAUUACUUUUCUUAGGUUCUUACCACUUUUAAUAUACUGAAUAUAGAUAUAAAUUAUAAUUAUUUUAAAAAUAAGUCAUAAAAUGGCUAUUUGUGCACUUGUUCCUGUAAGUUUGGCCCAACAUAGAAACACCAUUCAUCACAAGUUAAAGGGUUGAUCAAUCCAACAUAUCAAAAUGGACAGUCCAUUUAAUUAGGGAAAAUGACACUUACAAAUGAGAUUAAUUUUUGCACCUGGUUAGUGGUUCAAGACAGUUGGGAUGAGCAACACUAGAUGUUUUUUCCUAUCUGUUCCAGACUUGGUGCCUGGUACUUGUGUUGCUGGUGUUAGAUGGUAGCCUGGUAGGUAUCCGGUGGCAGUGGCGGGGUCAAGAAUUUAGCAAAGGGUGUGCAAAUUUUCUUUUAAGGGUGUGCAAAAUUAAAUAUUUAUUCAUAAUAGCUAAUAUUUAACCUUUUGUAAAUCACGUAAUUACUCGACGAAGAGUGUUCAUCUUACCACCCUUCGUUUAAGGUGGCUCCGCCCAUGUCCAGUGAAUUUAGUCGAGGUGCGCGCAAUUUGGCUCGGAUACCAUGGUUAUCACACACACAAACAAAGAUUAGUACAACAUUGCUAGUAGCAGAGGCCUUAGUUUACAGUAGUAGCGUCGAAGCUAGUACUAGGAUUAGUAGCAUCUAAAAUAGAGCUAGAACUUGAUACAUUGAUUAUGCUAAGGCUUCCUAAGGUUGCUAGCAUAGUAGCAGUAGUUGCAGACACGAGUUUAGUAGUGGCUGCUCCUGAUGCAUUAACUUUCAGUGUCUUCAUAUGAUGUGCCAGUGGUGGAUCCAAAAUAUGUAGUUUAUCACUUGUAGAGAUGUUUAGUUUGCAACCGUUUUUAGCCAAAACAUCAGCCAGCAUAUGCGUUGCUUAAAAUUAUGCUGGACCUGCGGAUUCCCCAAUUCCUUCAAUCUUGACCUGCUUAAGUAGACAAGAUCUGUGUAUAGGGGAAGGAAAGUGGAGUUGAUGGAAGAGAUCAGUAGAAUCUGUUUCAAUUUCCACCAAGUUGAGAGUUUUUUCCUUAGCCAACCUGAGGCCCUGCUCUAAAGCUUGCAGUUCAGCCAUGGUUGGAGUAAGAGAGGUAUUUUUCAUAUAGAAACCAACCAACCAUUGUCCAGUUGAGUUCCGAAUGAUUCCUCUGAGGAUGGCAGUGAGAGUUGGAGAUUGAAAAGCCCCAUCAAUAUUAAGUUUGAGGCCUGUUGUAGGAGGGGGGUUCCACACAGUACGAACAGCAAUUUUAGCUGUUUGAGGGAUCUCAGCCGCAGAAAAAUAUAUUCAGAAGUACGCAUUAAGAUAUAGUUAUAGGAGAGGGGCUGAGGUUGAUUUUGUGCUCCGUUAAAGAGUGUCUGAUUUCUGUAAAUCCAUAUAUUCCAUAAUACAAAGGGGUAAAAGGGAAGCUGAUUGAGAGUGUCCUGAGACAUCUAAGGAGUGGGAGUGGGGAGAAUGGUCCAUUGGGGUUGGAGAUUGCGUAUCAACUUCGGGGCCACUGCAGGGCCAGUGGAUUUAGUACAUUCUCCAUCAUUGGUGAUGCAUGUAGGAAUCCAUAGAUAGUUUCAUGCCCCCCGUUAUGAGUUGGACUAGAAAGUUUGGGUUUUGUAUAUGAUCAUGGAGUUCACCCCGUUUAUGUCCAUCGUAAAGAACGCAGCUUUGUCUUUUAGAGCAUGUUUUAUCCAAGACUGCGUUUGUUGAAGUAGGUGGACUGUUUGUGUUGCAAACACCACUGCGUGUUCGGCCACUUGUUGGGAAGAUUGUAAGGAUUGUUGUUCAUGGUGGAAGAGGAGUGGGCGAUCCUGUUUCCAGUAAGUUUGAUAAUAAGGAAGUAUCACCAAGGUGCGUAUAACCAUUCCCUAUCUGCUGCAGUGAGUUCAGUGCUCUUAAUACCUUUAAUUAAAUUAUUUAUGUCCUCCUUAGCAGUAAAUGACUGGGGCAUUUGUUUGGAGAAUUUAAGGACAUGAGAAUCCAGUUGGAUUGGAGAUUCACUACACAUCAGUUUUGCUUUGAAAUUAAUUGCAGAGGAGUUAAGGAAGUCAGAGGUAGGUUUAUGAGUUGUUCUAUGUGUGGUGGUACUAUUUGUUGUUGCAGUGGAAAAAAAUUGUGCUUUCCAUAUGGUUCUAUGUGUGGUGUUACUGUCUGUUGAUGCAGUGGAAAAAAAUUGUGUUUUCUAUGUUGUUCUAUGUGUGGUGUUACUAUUGGUGGUUCUAAUGAAAAAACAAGUGUUUUCUAUGUUGUUCUAUGUAUGGUGUUUGUAUUUGUUGUUGUAAUGGAAAAAAGUUGUGUUUUUUGUGUUGUUCAGGAGGAGGAAAAGUGGUUUUGCCAUUGCUCGCAUUUGGAGGAAUUGCCCUUUGGAUUAAUUAUUACUACAGGAGAAGAACAAUAAUAAGUAACCAAGAAGAGGUAUGUGCAAAAUCUGAUCUUUAUGUGUUUGGAACAAAGAGUAUGCUAUACUAUGAUCCAUUAACCAAUGUACAUAUAUUUUUAGAUUUUUGAGGUUGAUGACACAAAGGAGGAUUGUUUGAGUAAGCUACCAGAUGAUGUUUUGUGCUCCAUUCUUGGAAAUUUGACAGUACGCGAUGCUGCUAGGACGAGCAUUUUAUCUACCAGGUGGAAAUAUGUGUUUGCCUCUACGCAACUACGACAGCAACAACCCACAUUUGAAUUCAGAUGCUCUGAUAUGUUGAGGAUUCACCCUGGUCAUUCUUGUUGCUCUUACUAUCAAGAAAAAGAAAAAUUCAUGAAUGGAUUAUACCAGUUUUUAAGACACAAUUCUGGUUGUAGAGGUGGCUCAUGUUCAGAUGGUCUGUUGCUUUGGGAGAGAGUUUCCUAGUGCAUUUACCCAUUGGUUCCAAUCUCUUUCUAGAAUAAGUGUUGAAAGCUUACACCUUUCCUUUGAGUGCAUUCUCGGUGACUUAAGCCAGUUGCUUACAUUUUCUCUUGAGGUUCUCUCUCAGUCAUCUUCACUGGAACAUUUGGUUUUACAAGGCUGUGUUGUGUUAUCAAGUCCCAAAGUCCGUUUUAAUUCUCUCAUGACUCUUACUUUGGGUGGUGUUGUGUUAAAUAGCGGACAUCUGGAGGGUAUUCUGUCCUCUUGUUCCAACCUUAAGAAGUUAACUAUUGUGGGCUGUAACCUUCCUUAUAAGCUACGACUCAGUGGUACAGUAAUGGAUGUUGUUAUUUGGGAGUGUGUCGGAGGGAAAGAAAUUGAUCUUCAUGCUGCACAUCUUCGUAUUCUUGAGUACAAGAUUAAUAACAAUGUAAGAUUUUUUUUCUCAUUUGUACCCGUGCUGGAAAAUGUAAUGGUUUGGCGUGACCUUCGGCAUUCAUAUUCAUACGAAUUUGGUGAUCGUGCAAGAGAUUUACCUGAUCAGGUUAAAUCUUUAACCCUCCAAUUUAUUCCUGAUCAGGUAUUAAUUUAACAUUGUCUUGUAUUCUCAAAGUUUAUUCUCAAAGUUUUCAACAUUCGUCAUUUUGAUGACCAUAAUCACUUGAGUUUUUUUCUCUAGAUAUAUCCUUCAUUUGAGAACCCAACAGAGAUGCAGAUGUUCAGAAACCUUAGGAGCUUAAUCUUGAAACUUGUGAGCAGUCUUGCAAUUGUAGAGCUAUUUGACCUAUCCAGACUCUUGGGUGAUUUUCCUCUGCUCCAAUCUUUGACUUUCGUGGUGAGUUAUCCAUGUUCAUCAUCUUCUUCUUUUCAUAAUUCUUAUAUUUUUUAUAUUCUUUUUCCAUGAACUAUCUUUAUAGAAAGGCACUUACGUUUUUAAGCUUAGAAUCUAUUCGCUUUGUGGUGAACUCUAGGUUUAUGCUUUAGUGAAUUGUUACGUUGAUGCAAAGUUGAUAGAAAUAUCAUGUGUUGUUAAGAGGUAACAACCAGUAGACCAUUCGUUUUGAUGAUUUUUGAAAUCCUAGAGGAUCAUACUUCACAAAUAGAAUUUACUUGAUCAUUCAUAAAACAAUGCGAAAGAGCAUUGAUUUUAUCAUAAUCUCUAGUUAGUUCAACUCUUCUAUCGGAAACAACCUCUCUACUUUGUAAGGUCUGGAUGUGCAGUUUUUUUAAUCAUCAUUUUGUAAAUUUUUUCUUGACUUCUGAUAAAAAAGUGUCACAUCAGUUUAGUUGGUACAUUGAAAAGUCUUAAAGAUAGAUUGCGAAGAUCUGCAAAUUGUAUGUUAAAACAUUACGCUUUAUAAACUACAGAAUGUCCAACCUUAUUGGUUGUUGAAUCUGAUAAAAAAGUGGCACAUCAGUUUAGUUGGUACAGUGAAAAGUCUUAAAGAUAGAUUGCGAAGAUCUGCAAUUGUUUGUUAAACUACAGAAAUGUCCAACCUUACUGGUCGUUGAAUCUGAUAACAAAGUGGCACAUCAGUUUAGUUGGUACAGUGAAAAGUCUUAAAGAUAGAUUGCGAAGAUCUGCAAAUUGUAUGUUAAAACAUUGUUUUAUAAACUACAGAAAUGUCCAACCUUACUGGUCAUUGAAUCAAACGCUCGAGUACCUUUUUCUUUUUGUUCAUUUGGUGAGAUCAACGACACAAUGAACUGCCAAGUAAUUAGUAAUAUUCCUUACAGUCCAUUGCUCUACUAAGUCGUAGUUGUAAUUAUUUAGCACUAUGUUGAUCUCAUUCUCAUUGUGAUCUUCAGGUGAUUAAGCUUCCGAUAACAAGGGAGAGAAGAAGAAAUCCUCCAUCUCCUACACGUCACACUGAACUAAAACAAGUGAGAUAAGGUGGAAUUAAUGGAUUAGAUACCGAGAUGGAAUUUGUUCUUUACAUUCUAAGAUGUGCAACAGUACUUGAGCAAAUGUUUCUCAGCCCUGGAUACAAGAGUGAAUUCUCUUUAGAGCAGGAAUUCGGUAUCGAACCUUUCAUUCGAUGAAGAAAAACGCAACUUAAUCCAACAGAGACUACAUGGACAAGCUAUCUCUGGGAAUGCUACGGUGAUCAUCCAAUAAGAUAUUGGACA
RNAcentral lists this long non-coding RNA (6853 nucleotides) under Capsicum annuum. RNAcentral describes it as "long non-coding RNA (CANN_LNC020063)". The record is from RNAcentral. Lineage: Eukaryota; Viridiplantae; Streptophyta; Magnoliopsida; Solanales; Solanaceae.